RNAcentral lists this ribosomal RNA (2904 nucleotides) under Escherichia coli. Its description in RNAcentral is "23S ribosomal RNA". It matches the Rfam family "Bacterial large subunit ribosomal RNA". Lineage: Bacteria; Pseudomonadati; Pseudomonadota; Gammaproteobacteria; Enterobacterales; Enterobacteriaceae. The record is from RNAcentral.
GGUUAAGCGACUAAGCGUACACGGUGGAUGCCCUGGCAGUCAGAGGCGAUGAAGGACGUGCUAAUCUGCGAUAAGCGUCGGUAAGGUGAUAUGAACCGUUAUAACCGGCGAUUUCCGAAUGGGGAAACCCAGUGUGAUUCGUCACACUAUCAUUAACUGAAUCCAUAGGUUAAUGAGGCGAACCGGGGGAACUGAAACAUCUAAGUACCCCGAGGAAAAGAAAUCAACCGAGAUUCCCCCAGUAGCGGCGAGCGAACGGGGAGCAGCCCAGAGCCUGAAUCAGUGUGUGUGUUAGUGGAAGCGUCUGGAAAGGCGCGCGAUACAGGGUGACAGCCCCGUACACAAAAAUGCACAUACUGUGAGCUCGAUGAGUAGGGCGGGACACGUGGUAUCCUGUCUGAAUAUGGGGGGACCAUCCUCCAAGGCUAAAUACUCCUGACUGACCGAUAGUGAACCAGUACCGUGAGGGAAAGGCGAAAAGAACCCCGGCGAGGGGAGUGAAAAAGAACCUGAAACCGUGUACGUACAAGCAGUGGGAGCACGCUUAGGCGUGUGACUGCGUACCUUUUGUAUAAUGGGUCAGCGACUUAUAUUCUGUAGCAAGGUUAACCGAAUAGGGGAGCCGAAGGGAAACCGAGUCUUAACUGGGCGUUAAGUUGCAGGGUAUAGACCCGAAACCCGGUGAUCUAGCCAUGGGCAGGUUGAAGGUUGGGUAACACUAACUGGAGGACCGAACCGACUAAUGUUGAAAAAUUAGCGGAUGACUUGUGGCUGGGGGUGAAAGGCCAAUCAAACCGGGAGAUAGCUGGUUCUCCCCGAAAGCUAUUUAGGUAGCGCCUCGUGAAUUCAUCUCCGGGGGUAGAGCACUGUUUCGGCAAGGGGGUCAUCCCGACUUACCAACCCGAUGCAAACUGCGAAUACCGGAGAAUGUUAUCACGGGAGACACACGGCGGGUGCUAACGUCCGUCGUGAAGAGGGAAACAACCCAGACCGCCAGCUAAGGUCCCAAAGUCAUGGUUAAGUGGGAAACGAUGUGGGAAGGCCCAGACAGCCAGGAUGUUGGCUUAGAAGCAGCCAUCAUUUAAAGAAAGCGUAAUAGCUCACUGGUCGAGUCGGCCUGCGCGGAAGAUGUAACGGGGCUAAACCAUGCACCGAAGCUGCGGCAGCGACGCUGAUGCGUUGUUGGGUAGGGGAGCGUUCUGUAAGCCUGCGAAGGUGUGCUGUGAGGCAUGCUGGAGGUAUCAGAAGUGCGAAUGCUGACAUAAGUAACGAUAAAGCGGGUGAAAAGCCCGCUCGCCGGAAGACCAAGGGUUCCUGUCCAACGUUAAUCGGGGCAGGGUGAGUCGACCCCUAAGGCGAGGCCGAAAGGCGUAGUCGAUGGGAAACAGGUUAAUAUUCCUGUACUUGGUGUUACUGCGAAGGGGGGACGGAGAAGGCUAUGUUGGCCGGGCGACGGUUGUCCCGGUUUAAGCGUGUAGGCUGGUUUUCCAGGCAAAUCCGGAAAAUCAAGGCUGAGGCGUGAUGACGAGGCACUACGGUGCUGAAGCAACAAAUGCCCUGCUUCCAGGAAAAGCCUCUAAGCAUCAGGUAACAUCAAAUCGUACCCCAAACCGACACAGGUGGUCAGGUAGAGAAUACCAAGGCGCUUGAGAGAACUCGGGUGAAGGAACUAGGCAAAAUGGUGCCGUAACUUCGGGAGAAGGCACGCUGAUAUGUAGGUGAAGUCCCUCGCGGAUGGAGCUGAAAUCAGUCGAAGAUACCAGCUGGCUGCAACUGUUUAUUAAAAACACAGCACUGUGCAAACACGAAAGUGGACGUAUACGGUGUGACGCCUGCCCGGUGCCGGAAGGUUAAUUGAUGGGGUCAGCGCAAGCGAAGCUCUUGAUCGAAGCCCCGGUAAACGGCGGCCGUAACUAUAACGGUCCUAAGGUAGCGAAAUUCCUUGUCGGGUAAGUUCCGACCUGCACGAAUGGCGUAAUGAUGGCCAGGCUGUCUCCACCCGAGACUCAGUGAAAUUGAACUCGCUGUGAAGAUGCAGUGUACCCGCGGCAAGACGGAAAGACCCCGUGAACCUUUACUAUAGCUUGACACUGAACAUUGAGCCUUGAUGUGUAGGAUAGGUGGGAGGCUUUGAAGUGUGGACGCCAGUCUGCAUGGAGCCGGCCUUGAAAUACCACCCUUUAAUGUUUGAUGUUCUAACGUUGACCCGUAAUCCGGGUUGCGGACAGUGUCUGGUGGGUAGUUUGACUGGGGCGGUCUCCUCCUAAAGAGUAACGGAGGAGCACGAAGGUUGGCUAAUCCUGGUCGGACAUCAGGAGGUUAGUGCAAUGGCAUAAGCCAGCUUGACUGCGAGCGUGACGGCGCGAGCAGGUGCGAAAGCAGGUCAUAGUGAUCCGGUGGUUCUGAAUGGAAGGGCCAUCGCUCAACGGAUAAAAGGUACUCCGGGGAUAACAGGCUGAUACCGCCCAAGAGUUCAUAUCGACGGCGGUGUUUGGCACCUCGAUGUCGGCUCAUCACAUCCUGGGGCUGAAGUAGGUCCCAAGGGUAUGGCUGUUCGCCAUUUAAAGUGGUACGCGAGCUGGGUUUAGAACGUCGUGAGACAGUUCGGUCCCUAUCUGCCGUGGGCGCUGGAGAACUGAGGGGGGCUGCUCCUAGUACGAGAGGACCGGAGUGGACGCAUCACUGGUGUUCGGGUUGUCAUGCCAAUGGCACUGCCCGGUAGCUAAAUGCGGAAGAGAUAAGUGCUGAAAGCAUCUAAGCACGAAACUUGCCCCGAGAUGAGUUCUCCCUGACUCCUUGAGAGUCCUGAAGGAACGUUGAAGACGACGACGUUGAUAGGCCGGGUGUGUAAGCGCAGCGAUGCGUUGAGCUAACCGGUACUAAUGAACCGUGAGGCUUAACCUU